CCUACGGGUGGCUGCAGUCGAGAAUCAUUCACAAUGGGGGAAACCCUGAUGGUGCGACGCCGCGUGGGGGAAUGAAGGUCUUCGGAUUGUAAACCCCUGUCAUGUGGGAGCAAAUUAAAAAGAUAGUACCACAAGAGGAAGAGACGGCUAACUCUGUGCCAGCAGCCGCGGGAAUACAGAGGUCUCAAGCGGUGUUCGGAAUCACUGGGCGUAAAGCGUGCGUAGGCUGUUUCGUAAGUCGUGUGUGAAAGGCGCGGGCUCAACCCGCGGACGGCACAUGAUACUGCGAGACUAGUGGAAUGGAGGGGGAACCGGAAUUCUCGGUGUAGCAGUGAAAUGCGUAGAUAUCGAGAGGAACACUCGUGGCGAAGGCGGGUUCCUGGACAUUAACUGACGCUGAGGCACGAAGGCCAGGGGAGCGAAAGGGAUUAGAUACCCCUGUAGUC
RNAcentral lists this ribosomal RNA (446 nucleotides) under uncultured bacterium. Its description in RNAcentral is "partial 16S ribosomal RNA". It matches the Rfam family "Bacterial small subunit ribosomal RNA", at positions 338 to 795 of the family's 1533-position model. The record is from RNAcentral.